GCGAUACUAGUAAAACCAGAUUACACUACCUUGUCAGGGCAGAAUUGUGGGUUAAAGCCCCACGUAUCAUA
Molecule: transfer RNA, 71 nt
Filed under: Toxotes chatareus (largescale archerfish)
Lineage: Eukaryota; Metazoa; Chordata; Actinopteri; Toxotidae
Description: tRNA-Asp
Rfam family: tRNA
About the family: Transfer RNA (tRNA) molecules are approximately 80 nucleotides in length. Their secondary structure includes four short double-helical elements and three loops (D, anti-codon, and T loops). Further hydrogen bonds mediate the characteristic L-shaped molecular structure. tRNAs have two regions of fundamental functional importance: the anti-codon, which is responsible for specific mRNA codon recognition, and the 3' end, to which the tRNAs corresponding amino acid is attached (by aminoacyl-tRNA synthetases). tRNAs cope with the degeneracy of the genetic code in two manners: having more than one tRNA (with a specific anti-codon) for a particular amino acid; and 'wobble' base-pairing, i.e. permitting non-standard base-pairing at the 3rd anti-codon position.
Source: RNAcentral